This 862-nucleotide ribosomal RNA is filed under the name uncultured bacterium. RNAcentral's name for it is "bacterial SSU rRNA". It matches the Rfam family "Bacterial small subunit ribosomal RNA", at positions 1 to 851 of the family's 1533-position model. The record is from RNAcentral.
UAGAGUUUGAUCCUGGCUCAGGAUGAACGCUGGCGGCGUGCUAAUACAUGCAAGUCGAACGCACAGCGAAAGGUGCUUGCACCUUUCAAGUGAGUGGCGAACGGGUGAGUAACACGUGGAUAACCUACCUCAAGGUUGGGGAUAACAUUUGGAAACAGAUGCUAAUACCGAAUAAAACUUAGUAUCGCAUGAUACCAGGUUAAAAGGCGCUACGGCGUCACCUAGAGAUGGAUCCGCGGUGCAUUAGUUAGUUGGUGGGGUAAAGGCUUACCAAGACAAUGAUGCAUAGCCGAGUUGAGAGACUGAUCGGCCACAUUGGGACUGAGACACGGCCCAAACUCCUACGGGAGGCUGCAGUAGGGAAUCUUCCACAAUGGGCGAAAGCCUGAUGGAGCAACGCCGCGUGUGUGAUGAAGGCUUUCGGGUCGUAAAGCACUGUUGUAUGGGAAGAACAGCUAGAGUAGGGAAUGACUUUAGUUUGACGGUACCAUACCAGAAAGGGACGGCUAAAUACGUGCCAGCAGCCGCGGUAAUACGUAUGUCCCGAGCGUUAUCCGGAUUUAUUGGGCGUAAAGCGAGCGCAGACGGUUAAUUAAGUCUGAUGUGAAAGCCCGGAGCUCAACUCCGGAAAGGCAUUGGAAACUGGUUAACUUGAGUGCAGUAGAGGUAAGUGGAACUCCAUGUGUAGCGGUGGAAUGCGUAGAUAUAUGGAAGAACACCAGCGGCGAAGGCGGCUUACUGGACUGUAACUGACGUUGAGGCUCGAAAGUGUGGGUAGCAAACAGGAUUAGAUACCCUGGUAGUCCACACCGUAAACGAUGAGCACUAGGUGUUAGGAGGUUUCCGCCUCUUAGUGCCGAAG